Molecule: ribosomal RNA, 375 nt
Filed under: uncultured bacterium
Lineage: Bacteria
Description: bacterial SSU rRNA
Rfam family: Bacterial small subunit ribosomal RNA
Source: RNAcentral
UACGGAGGGAGCUAGCGUUGUUCGGAAUUACUGGGCGUAAAGCGCACGUAGGCGGCGAUCUAAGUCAGGGGUGAAAGCCCGGGGCUCAACCCCGGAAUAGCCUUUGAGACUGGAUUGCUUGAAUCCGGGAAAGGUGAGUGGAAUUCCGAGUGUAGAGGUGAAAUUCGUAGAUAUUCGGAAGAACACCAGUGGCGAAGGCGGCUCACUGGACCGGCAUUGACGCUGAGGUGCGAAAGCGUGGGGAGCAAACAGGAUUAGAUACCCUGAUAGUCCACGCCGUAAACGAUGAUAACUAGCUGCUGGGGCGCAUGGCGCUUCGGUGGCGCAGCUAACGCAUUAAGUUAUCCGCCUGGGGAGUACGGUCGCAAGAUUAAA